CACCGCGGUUAUACGAGAGACCCUAGUUGAUAAAUACGGCGUAAAGAGUGGUUAGAGGACUCCCGUAAUAAAGCCAAAGACCCUCCAGGCCGUCACACGCAUACGAGGGCACGAAGUUCACACACGAAAGUAGCUUUAAACUACCCGACGCCACGAAAGCUAAGAAACAAACUGG
Molecule: ribosomal RNA, 175 nt
Filed under: Hoplias sp. gr. malabaricus LMB-2020
Lineage: Eukaryota; Metazoa; Chordata; Actinopteri; Characiformes; Erythrinidae
Description: partial small subunit ribosomal RNA
Source: RNAcentral